UCUUUUAAUUUUUUCACUUCCUCCUUUUCUCUCAAUCUCAUGCUCCUCUCUCCGACUCUCCCUCUCCCCCCUCCUCUCUUUCUUUUCCUUUCCUUUCUCCUCUCCCUCCCUUCUCACUCUCACGUGCGCACACACAGAAAUUGUGAGAGAGAUGCAGAGCACGACGCUAAGAAGAAGAAGAAGAAAAAGAAGCAACCGAUUGAUGGGUUUGAGUGAGGCACGUAACAUGAGGUUGGAGACUCCAACUUGUUCUCCAAUGUAGGCUUUAAGGUAAAUAGAAUGUGGAAGAGUAUUUGAGUCGUGAUUUCUAUGCGGUCUACCAAAGGUUUUAACGGUUGCCACGUACCUUUUAAUGCAAUAUCGAGGUCUCAAGACAUUUGAUAUAGGUGGCCGGGAUGCUUAGGUUUUUUGGGGAAAACAUGAUAUCCACUUAAAUUACUUUUGUUGUAUCUAUGUUAUAUUGUCAAGGUGUGUCUCAGACACAUAUAAGACAAAAGACCACUUGACUUAUUAGUUUAGAUUUGUAUGCACUUAUUAUAUUAAGACCUCAUGCUUUCAAAAAAAAGAAUAUAUAUUGUUUUCUCA
Alnus glutinosa is the source of this 585-nucleotide long non-coding RNA. RefSeq lists it as uncharacterized. Lineage: Eukaryota; Viridiplantae; Streptophyta; Magnoliopsida; Fagales; Betulaceae. The record is from RefSeq and is a predicted model, not a curated record. The transcript has 3 exons.